CCGGCUGCAGUUUCCGACAGGUGGAUGGUGCUGCCCGAACCCGGCCUCUGAGACUUCUAAAAGCAGGUCUAGUCGGAGCUCCUCUCCAGCUCCCCGCCGACAGGGACUCCGUCGCUUCCGAGCCAGCUGUGGUACCCAAACAAAGGAAAUCCAAUUCGUCUGCGGUGGCCGUGGGAGUCCUGGGCGCUCUCGACUCGGAUCUGCGGGUAGUUCGCUGCAUGCCGGUCCCUGCAGGAAUUAUCUGUAGAGCAGUAAGUAUGCUAAUAUUCAGGAAGACAGCAGGAGUUUUUGCCAAACCACCAAAGAGGAACAUGUAUGGACUUUUGAGAAGUCUUCGUGUUUCUCCUGGAGUUCUUUCUCCUCGUAAGCUGGUCCUGGGGAUCGAAACCAGCUGUGACGACACAGCCGCUGCCGUGGUGGAUGAAACUGGACGCGUGUGGGGAGAAGCCAUGCAUUCCCAGACCGAAGUGCAUUUGAAAACAGGCGGAAUUGUUCCUCCAGUAGCUCAACAGCUUCACAGAGAAAAUAUUGAGCGAAUAGUAGAAGAAGCCCUUUCUGCCAGCAGAGUCUCGCCACGUGACCUCUCAGCAAUCGCAACCACCGUCAAACCAGGACUGGCUCUGAGCCUGGGCGUAGGCUUAUCAUUCAGCCUACAGCUAGUAAACCAGUUUAAAAAGCCCUUCAUUCCUAUCCACCAUAUGGAGGCUCAUGCGCUUACCAUCAGACUGACCAACAAAGUAGAAUUUCCUUUUCUAGUUCUUUUGAUUUCUGGAGGUCACUGCCUGUUGGCCUUAGUCCGCGGUGUUUCAGAUUUCCUGCUUCUUGGGAAGUCUUUGGACAUAGCGCCAGGUGACAUGCUCGACAAGGUGGCAAGAAGACUUUCUUUAAUCAAUCAUCUGGAAUAUUCUACGAUGAGCGGUGGGAAGGCUAUAGAACAUUUGGCCAAAGAAGGAAAUAGAUUCCAUUUUACCCUCAAUCCUCCCAUGCAGAAUGCUAAGAACUGCAAUUUUUCUUUUACGGGACUUCAGCAUGUUAUCGAUAAGCUAAUCGAAAGGAAGGAGAAGGAAGAAGGCAUUGAGAAGGGGCAAAUCCUGUCUUCCGCCGCAGACAUUGCGGCUGCGGUGCAGCACGUGACCGCAUGCCACCUUGCCAUGAGAACGCAGCGCGCUAUUCUGUUUUGCAAGCAGAGAGAGUUGUUACCGCCAGCGAACGCAGUAUUAGUUGUGUCUGGAGGUGUUGCAAGUAACUCAUAUAUCCGAAGAGCAUUGGAAAUUGUAGUAGAUGCGACACAAUGCACUUUGCUGUGCCCUCCCCCAAGACUGUGCACUGAUAAUGGCAUUAUGAUUGCGUGGAAUGGGAUUGAAAGAUUGCGUGCCGGCUUGGGCAUUUUACAUGAUGUAGAAAACUUCCGGUAUGAACCAAGAUGUCCUCUUGGAGUAGACAUAUCCAAAGAAGUCGCAGAAGCUGCCAUAAAAGUCCCACAAUUAAAAAUGACAAUUUGAUUUGUGAUUUUUAAAGGUCUUUACAGAUCUGGGUGACGGAAAACGAACAGAUAGUUGCUCCUAGGGUUGGCGCCCAAAUGGGGAACGAACCCACGAUCCUGGGUCGGGAAAUGACGUUUGACCUUGAAUUUGAAGAAAAAAUACUUCACAAGGCUAUAGGAUUGAGAAGCUCUGAAGAGUAAGCAUAAAACAGAGAGGAGCCUAAAUGCUGAUGCCGAUGGAAGAGGCCAUGCCAUAAGCUGACAGUCCACACUGAGAGCAAUUUUCGACGCCACCACGUCAAAACCAACCACAUAGAUGCUGUGAGCAUGAUGUGAUUAAAAGACCUGCUAUGGGCCUCACAGGAUUGUGGCAGGCAUGAGAUGUAACUUGAGAGAUCCUAUAUAAAUACAGAAGUCUUAAGAAUGGGCUUCUUGUGAGGUGGAGGGGCUGGUGCGGAGAAUACUCAUUUCAUAAAUGCGUCAACAUUUUUCUGAAUCCCCAGUAGAGAAGUGCUCACCAAGACAACGUGCUUGCUAGAAUGAAAUGCAAGGCCCUGGGUACCUGAAAUGCUGCCAUUGCCCUCUCGGUUUCAACUUUGGACUGAAGAAAAGGCUCAAAAAUGGAUAAAGUUAUCAUUCCUUUUUCCAGUAUUAAGUACUGUUGAAAACGGUUGUUAUAGGCGAAAAGAGUCAGCGCGUAACCGGCUCUCAGGCAGAUGUCCUAGGGAGGGGAGAAACACCAAUAAUUUUCACUUGCUUUGUUGUUCACUGGGUUUUGAGUUAUCGCCUAUUAAGAUGCAUCUCAUUCUUAUCAAGAUGAGAUAUAGGACAUCGUUGGGAGAAUUUUUUUCUUUUAAAGAAAAAUAACUGCCUCAUAUUAGCUGCCUUGGGAAAGCUCUCUUCACUGCGUGACAUUUCCUAAGCCUCAGCGUUCUCUGGGUAAGAAGUGCAUGAUGGGGGAUUGGAAGGGCAUGCACUUACGUGAAGGGUUUGAUUCAGGACAGAGAUUUCACCAAGCAUUAAAACUGUGCACAUCAAGGAAGACAUGUGGCAAGUAUGAAAAGUUUGGAACCAUAUUAGCACAAACUCAUGACCAACAAAGUAUAUUCUCUUAAAUAAAUUGCUCGCAUGCUGCCUUGGGGAAUGCUUGGUCGUAACUGAUUGCGUUUUUCUUAGAACCGUUUCCCCUAGGUGAGCGCUCUGAAGGAUGUCAAAGUCCUACCUUGUCUUUUGAGUGAAGAAGAUAAAGGACAUCGGAAUACUGAAAUCCUUCCUUUUCUUGUAACUCUUUCUGCAGCAAGUCAUUCCCUAGGACGAUGCAUGCCAAAGAAAAUGCCACUUCAACCUAAAUGUGUGGUUUUCAAAAAUUAUGUUUCAUUCACACAUUACUGAAGAAUGUAUAGUACGUAAAUAUUUGCACAGGCUAGGUUGUGGAAAUAUAAAGUGUUUAAGGCACAAUGUGUUGCUUAUAAUUCUUUGACCCCAGUUAGUGUGACCCAGCCUCUGGAGGGUGUCUCUCAUAGAUUUUAAUGACCAGGAAAUUUCCAUGUCCUCUAUGACCAGAGGUCAUCUCACGUCUCCUGAAGGUGCUGGGUGGGGGGUGCCCUAGGGACAGCAAGGUAUGUUCAGAGGUAGUGUAAAAUCUUACAUAUAUAAUUGUAUCCCUUUCACAUCUAAACAUAAUUUUCAAAUAUUUACUAGCAUGGGUUUAAAGGCUAAGGAAAAAUAACCAAGGACUAAGUGCAUAAGAUUUUCAUGUCAUAGUAGAAGAAAAUAAUAAUUACUACAUCAGUAUUUUCUGCUUAAAACUUUUAGAAUUUUGUUUUAAAAGUUAAAUUGUUAUGCUUGUAAACCCACAUAAUGUAAGGUAAAAAUUCUUCUUAAAACUGUUCUAUAUAUUACGUUUACUAUGUUAGAAAACAUUGAAAACAUUAAUCCAUACCUUAAUGUUAAGGGAAGGAUGACUUCUUAAUAGCUGAAUGAGCACAGGAAAGGCAUUCUCCUCCACAACGAACUGUUGACUCAAGGGAUUGCUUGUGUGGGCCACGCCUGUAAAGCUCCCAUAGGUCAAUGAGAUCAUGCUUUUGUUCCAUUUUUAAAUUGUAGAGUCAAACUUUGCUGGAUUUUGAUGGAUAAACUAUCUUAAAGCAAUAUGGCUAACAGACUUUAAAAACAUAGUAUAUUGGCACUAUUUUAAUACUUCCUUUGGUUUCUUUAAAGGACAGAAUAAACAUGGAAAUUCAUUACUAGAACUAUAGAUAAUUUUAUAGUGAGAGACACAGCACAUAAAUUUGAAAACUGCUACAUUCAUUAUCAGAACCAUCACUGGUUAAAAAUAUAGUCUGGUACUCAAGUUUAUAGCCAGUAUUUCCUAUGAAAACUUUCUUAUCUACAAAAAUGACUAAUCACUGAGUUAAAAUUUCUAGCUUUCAUAAAUUGUAUAUACUAAAAACAUACAUUGUCUUCCUU
This is an RNA transcript of Chionomys nivalis (European snow vole), 3952 nucleotides long. It is a transcript of the gene named O-sialoglycoprotein endopeptidase like 1, with no coding region annotated. The record is from RefSeq and is a predicted model, not a curated record. The transcript is spliced from 9 exons. NCBI's taxonomy places the organism in Eukaryota, Metazoa, Chordata, Mammalia, Rodentia, Cricetidae.